This is a non-coding RNA of Streptomyces sp. SolWspMP-5a-2, 63 nucleotides long. Lineage: Bacteria; Bacillati; Actinomycetota; Actinomycetes; Kitasatosporales; Streptomycetaceae. The record is from Rfam.
GCCGGUCCUCGGUAGUGGCCCCCGGGAGUACGGAAACCCCGGGAGCUUCGAUCGAAGACCGGU